RNAcentral lists this ribosomal RNA (254 nucleotides) under uncultured bacterium. Its description in RNAcentral is "partial 16S ribosomal RNA". It matches the Rfam family "Bacterial small subunit ribosomal RNA", at positions 524 to 776 of the family's 1533-position model. The record is from RNAcentral.
UACGUAGGGGGGCAAGCGUUGUCCGGAAUUAUUGGGCGUAAAGAGCGUGUAGGCGGUCCGGUAAGUCAGCUGUGAAAGUCAAGGGCUCAACCCUUGAAUGCCGGUUGAUACUGUCGGGCUAGAGUCCGGAAGAGGCGAGUGGAAUUCCCGGUGUAGCGGUGAAAUGCGCAGAUAUCGGGAGGAACACCAAUGGCGAAGGCAGCUCGCUGGGACGGUACUGACGCUGAGACGCGAAAGCGUGGGGAGCAAACAGG